UACGAAGGGGGCUAGCGUUGUUCGGAAUUACUGGGCGUAAAGCGUGCGUAGGCGGUUCGCUCAGUUCGUUGUGAAAGCCCCGGGCUCAACCUGGGAACUGCCUUUGAUACUGUCGAUCUGGAGUAUGGAAGAGGUGAGUGGAAUUCCGAGUGUAGAGGUGAAAUUCGUAGAUAUUCGGAGGAACACCAGUGGCGAAGGCGGCUCACUGGACCAUUACUGACGCUGAGGUGCGAAAGCGUGGGGAGCAAACAGG
This 253-nucleotide ribosomal RNA is filed under the name uncultured bacterium. Its description in RNAcentral is "partial 16S ribosomal RNA". It matches the Rfam family "Bacterial small subunit ribosomal RNA", at positions 524 to 776 of the family's 1533-position model. The record is from RNAcentral.